AUUGCUUCUCGGCCUUUUGGCUAAGAUCAAGUGUAGUAUCUGUUCUUAUCAGUUUAAUAUCUGUUAUGUCCUCUAUAUGAAGACGACAUAUUAAACAGAUUUUUUGUAUUAAGGGGUUGAAAGAGGAGCUUGCUCUCUUCACCCCACGCAUCGACCUAGCGCUGCAGUGCAGCUGCGAGUGGUGCACUCUCU
This 192-nucleotide small nuclear RNA is filed under the name Nothobranchius furzeri (turquoise killifish). Its description in RNAcentral is "U2 spliceosomal RNA (ENSNFUG00015013507.1)". It matches the Rfam family "U2 spliceosomal RNA". Rfam says of the family: U2 is a small nuclear RNA (snRNA) component of the spliceosome (involved in pre-mRNA splicing). Complementary binding between U2 snRNA (in an area lying towards the 5' end but 3' to hairpin I) and the branchpoint sequence (BPS) of the intron results the bulging out of an unpaired adenosine, on the BPS, which initiates a nucleophilic attack at the intronic 5' splice site, thus starting the first of two transesterification reactions that mediate splicing. Lineage: Eukaryota; Metazoa; Chordata; Actinopteri; Cyprinodontiformes; Nothobranchiidae. The record is from Rfam by way of RNAcentral.